Long non-coding RNA from Trachymyrmex cornetzi, 785 nucleotides. RefSeq lists it as uncharacterized. Lineage: Eukaryota; Metazoa; Arthropoda; Insecta; Hymenoptera; Formicidae. The transcript has 3 exons. The record is from RefSeq and is a predicted model, not a curated record.
CAUCUGCCAAUCAAUAAUACCAUUUUUCCAAUUUGGAGACUUCUCACAGUUAUUCCAAAAAUUCAAGAAUACUGAUCAUGAAGAAUUUUAUCAUUAUACAAGAAUGAUGCCUGAUAGAUUUGAUUAACUUUUGGAAAAGACAAAACCCUAUCUGUUUAAAACAUAGCAGGAGACAUUCUCAUCAGAAUUGAGACUGGCUGCCAUUCUGGAUAUCUUGUUCAGAAAGAUAGUGUAGGGUCAAAGAAGUGGUCUUUUUUUGUUGGUCAUUCAAUAUUAAUAAGAUUAUCCCUGAGAUAUGUGAUGCAAUUAUGAAAGCUCUACAGCCAAUAUAUUUACUACUCAUGACAAGAGAGGAUUGACGUAAUGUAGUUGAUGGAUUUUAUAAGAAGUAGAAUUUCCGUAAUUGUAUAAGGGUACUUGGUGUAAGAAUCUAGGCUCCAAAAACUCAAGCUGUCUCUUCAAUAGCAAGAAAUUUUUUUCAAUUGUUCUCAUGGCAAUCUGUGAUACAGAUUAUGUUUUCAAAAGGGUGGACUAUGGCGAUCCCACUUACAAAAAAUUACUCAUACUAACGGUAUUACUCCUAAUAGCUUACGGUAUGUGGAAGGUUUAUAAAUCGGGUAAUCCUUUCAGAAUUAUUGUUUCAUCUAUUAAUAAUCUGUUGUAUAAUUUUUCUCUUUUAUGCUACAUUAGAUUAAAUGUAGUAUUCUAGAGACACGCUUUCACAUAAAAAAUAGCUUCCUCUUAGUCAAACUUAAGGGGAUGCUGCACUUACAGAACGCUCAUUC